AAUAUUGGUCAAUGGACGCAAGUCUGAACCAGCCAUGCCGCGUGAAGGAUUGAGGCCCUAUGGGUCGUAAACUUCUUUUGUGGUGGAGCAAUAAGGCGUACGUGUACGCCGAUGAGAGUACAUCACGAAUAAGCAUCGGCUAACUCCGUGCCAGCAGCCGCGGUAAUACGGAGGAUGCAAGCGUUAUCCGGAUUUAUUGGGUUUAAAGGGUGCGUAGGCUGUUCGACAAGUCAGGGGUGAAAGCCCGGCGCCUAACGCCGGAACUGCCUUUGAUACUGCCGAGCUGGAAUACGGAUGCCGUGGGAGGAAUGAGUAGUGUAGCGGUGAAAUGCAUAGAUAUUACUCAGAACACCGAUUGCGAAGGCAUCUCACGAAUCCGUCAUUGACGCUGAGGCACGAAAGCGUGGGGAUCAAA
This 415-nucleotide ribosomal RNA is filed under the name uncultured bacterium. RNAcentral describes it as "partial 16S ribosomal RNA". It matches the Rfam family "Bacterial small subunit ribosomal RNA", at positions 360 to 772 of the family's 1533-position model. The record is from RNAcentral.